CACAUGCAAGUCGAGGGGAAACGACAUCGAAAGCUUGCUUUUGAUGGGCGUCGACCGGCGCACGGGUGAGUAACGCGUAUCCAACCUGCCCAUCACUUGGGGAUAACCUUGCGAAAGUAAGACUAAUACCCAAUGAUAUCUCUAGAAGACAUCUGAAAGGGAUUAAAGAUUUAUCGGUGAUGGAUGGGGAUGCGUCUGAUUAGCUUGUUGGCGGGGUAACGGCCCACCAAGGCGACGAUCAGUAGGGGUUCUGAGAGGAAGGUCCCCCACAUUGGAACUGAGACACGGUCCAAACUCCUACGGGAGGCAGCAGUGAGGAAUAUUGGUCAAUGGACGAGAGUCUGAACCAGCCAAGUAGCGUGCAGGAUGACGGCCCUAUGGGUUGUAAACUGCUUUUAUAAGGGAAUAAAGUGAGUCUCGUGAGGCUUUUUGCAUGUACCUUAUGAAUAAGGACCGGCUAACUCCGUGCCAGCAGCCGCGGUAAUACGGAAGGUCCGGGCGUUAUCCGGAUUUAUUGGGUUUAAAGGGAGCGUAGGCCGGAGAUUAAGCGUGUUGUGAAAUGUAGACGCUCAACGUCUGCACUGCAGCGCGAACUGGUUUCCUUGAGUACGCACAAAGUGGGCGGAAUUCGUGGUGUAGCGGUGAAAUGCUUAGAUAUCACGAAGAACUCCGAUUGCGAAGGCAGCUCACUGGAGCGCAACUGACGCUGAAGCUCGAAAGUGCGGGUAUCGAACAGGAUUAGAUACCCUGGUAGCCCGCACGGUAAACGAUGGAUGCCCGCUGUUGGUCUGAAUAGGUCAGCGGCCAAGCGAAAGCAUUAAGCAUCCCACCUGGGGAGUACGCCGGCAACGGUGAAACUCAAAGGAAUUGACGGG
Molecule: ribosomal RNA, 875 nt
Filed under: uncultured bacterium
Lineage: Bacteria
Description: bacterial SSU rRNA
Rfam family: Bacterial small subunit ribosomal RNA
Source: RNAcentral